AUGGACCUUACAGGAGGAGAGGAAUCCUCGACACACAACAUGCAAAUCAGUUGGCCGUCCUUGAACCCCCCUGCUCACGGCUACAUCGACGACGGCGGCGAGCGGCCACCCUUCGUCCUCAUCGAGCCCUACGCCUGCUUCGCCAACCUCAUCAACGGCACCACCGCCAGCACCCCAAUUAUGUUCGACACCGAGCUCGAGGGCUGUAGCAUCCAGGUCACCUUCUGCGCCGUCCACCCGCCGGACGUCUCUUACCUGUGCGUCCACGCCGUAGGCUUGGGCGACCCCCUGUUCACCAACCCGCCUCGCAUCCUCGCCACCGAGACGGACGGUAGCCUCCUCCUGCUAUGCGUCCCCAUCCCCAUCCCCGGCCAUCCUUUCCCACUCGGUGCCUACGUCAACAGCACCCGAGAAGAGUACUUCGUCUACAACCCCCGCGUCCCUGUGCUUGAGCACCUUCGGCACCCGGAACCCGGCAGCAUCCCCUGCUUGGUUGACGGCACGGUUGCCAUCGUGCGCAAGUGCAGCCAACACCAACACACCAGCAACCCAGGCCGCAAACAACAACCCCAUCGAGCCGGCGUCCACAACUUAGCCCUACAUCCCCAUGGAGCCGGCGUCCACAACUUCGCCCUACAAUCCCACGGAGCCGGCGGCCACAAGUUCGGCCUACAACCCCAUGGAGCCGGCCGCCACGACUGCAGCAACUGCAGCUACGUCAUUGCGGCGCAAUCUGAAAGGUUCGGAUCUGACUAUCCUUGUCAACUCUACCUCUAUCACUCCAAUACCUCCUCCUGGACCACUCCGUCCGUGGUAUUCGAGACGCCCCUCGACAACGAAUACCAAACACACAAGACAAUCUUCAUCGGAGGAGAAAAGGGUACUCUGGCCUGGGUCGAUCUCUCUGGAACUAUUGUCUUGUGGGACGUUCUCGGCAAGGGCCGCCGCAAGUUUCGCCAGUUCCAACUGCCAGGACCCAUCGACAAGGGCAGCGACGCAUCCACUCGGGACAUUGCUGUGCUCGGUUCUUCCAUCAACUAUGUCGUAAUGGAGUACUUUGCCCGUGGUUGGAAGGCCACUGUAUGGAGCAUCAGCACUAAUUCCCUCCCUGGGGAGGGUUGGGGCAUCCGUUACCAUCUUGAUUCCUCUAAUUUACAAGGUCUUGAAGGUGAACCAGCUACAGCUCCUUAUAUUGGCCUACCCAAGCUGAGCCUCCAAGACGAUGGCACUGUUUUCUUUCUCAAACAGGUUGACUACCGCGACCCACACCAACCGGCAUGGGUGCUUGCUGUUGACAUGAGAAACAAAACUGUCCAGAAAGUGGCCAAGUUUAUUCCCUCUGGUUUGUACGUCGACUAUGAAACAAGCAGGAUUUCCAAAUAUCUCAAAGUUGCUCCAGGUACAAAGCAAAUAACGAAAAGACCUGGGACGCCAUUGCUGAAAUCCCCUAGCAAGAAACAUACUGGAGACACAGAUGACCCUAUGACGGCGAUUGAUGUGUGUUAG
This 1506-nucleotide ribosomal RNA is filed under the name Triticum aestivum (bread wheat). RNAcentral's name for it is "partial small subunit ribosomal RNA". The record is from RNAcentral. Lineage: Eukaryota; Viridiplantae; Streptophyta; Magnoliopsida; Poales; Poaceae.